GACGAACGCUGGCGGCGUGCUUAACACAUGCAAGUCGAACGGAAAGGCCCUGCUUUUGUGGGGUGCUCGAGUGGCGAACGGGUGAGUAACACGUGAGUAACCUGCCCUUGACUUUGGGAUAACUUCAGGAAACUGGGGCUAAUACCGGAUAGGAGCUCCUGCUGCAUGGUGGGGGUUGGAAAGUUUCGGCGGUUGGGGAUGGACUUGCGGCUUAUCAGCUUGUUGGUGGGGUAGUGGCUUACCAAGGCUUUGACGGGUAGCCGGCCUGAGAGGGUGACCGGCCACAUUGGGACUGAGAUACGGACCAGACUCCAACGGGAGGCAGCAGUGGGGAAUAUUGCACAAUGGGAGGAAGCCUGAUGCAGCAACGCCGCGUGCGGGAUGACGGCCUUCGGGUUGUAAACCGCUUUCGCCUGUGACGAAGCGUGAGUGACGGUAAUGGGUAAAGAAGCACCGGCUAACUACGUG
RNAcentral lists this ribosomal RNA (468 nucleotides) under uncultured bacterium. Its description in RNAcentral is "partial 16S ribosomal RNA". It matches the Rfam family "Bacterial small subunit ribosomal RNA", at positions 28 to 507 of the family's 1533-position model. The record is from RNAcentral.